Molecule: transfer RNA, 74 nt
Filed under: Actinocatenispora rupis
Lineage: Bacteria; Bacillati; Actinomycetota; Actinomycetes; Micromonosporales; Micromonosporaceae
Description: tRNA-Gly
Rfam family: tRNA
About the family: Transfer RNA (tRNA) molecules are approximately 80 nucleotides in length.
Source: RNAcentral
GCGGUAGUGGCGCAGUCGGUAGCGCACCUGCUCGCCACGCAGGAGAUCGCCGGUUCGAGCCCGGCCUACCGCUC